This 614-nucleotide ribosomal RNA is filed under the name Aschersonia sp. JP-2006a. Its description in RNAcentral is "eukaryotic LSU rRNA". It matches the Rfam family "Eukaryotic large subunit ribosomal RNA", at positions 38 to 667 of the family's 3401-position model. The record is from RNAcentral. Lineage: Eukaryota; Fungi; Ascomycota; Sordariomycetes; Hypocreales; Clavicipitaceae.
GCAUAUCAAUAAGCGGAGGAAAAGAAACCAACAGGGAUUGCCCCAGUAACGGCGAGUGAAGCGGCAACAGCUCAAAUUUGAAAUCUGGCCCCCCCCGGGGGGCCCGAGUUGUAAUUUGCAGAGGAUGCUUUGGGCGAGGCGCCUUCCGAGUUCCCUGGAACGGGACGCCACAGAGGGUGAGAGCCCCGUCUGGUCGGACGCCGAGCCUCUGUAAAGCUCCUUCGACGAGUCGAGUAGUUUGGGAAUGCUGCUCAAAAUGGGAGGUAUAUGUCUUCUAAAGCUAAAUACCGGCCAGAGACCGAUAGCGCACAAGUAGAGUGAUCGAAAGAUGAAAAGCACCUUGAAAAGGGGGUUAAACAGUACGUGAAAUUGUUGAAAGGGAAGCGCUCGUGACCAGACUUGGGGCGGGCGGAUCAGCCGGCGUUCUUGCCGGCGCACAUCGCCCGUCCCAGGCCAGCAUCAGUUCGCGCCGGGGGACAAAGGCGGCGGGAACGUGGCUCCCCAGGGAGUGUUAUAGCCCGCCGCGCCAUGCCCCGGGGGCGGACUGAGGGCCGCGCAUCACUGCAAGGAUGCUGGCGUAAUGGUCACCAGCGACCCGUCUUGAAACACGGACC